GAUGAACGCUGGCGGCGUGCCUAAUACAUGCAAGUCGAGCGAACAGACGAGGAGCUUGCUCCUCUGACGUUAGCGGCGGACGGGUGAGUAACACGUGGAUAACCUACCUAUAAGACUGGGAUAACUUCGGGAAACCGGAGCUAAUACCGGAUAAUAUAUUGAACCGCAUGGUUCAAUAGUGAAAGACGGUUUUGCUGUCACUUAUAGAUGGAUCCGCGCCGCAUUAGCUAGUUGGUAAGGUAACGGCUUACCAAGGCGACGAUGCGUAGCCGACCUGAGAGGGUGAUCGGCCACACUGGAACUGGGACACGGUCCAGACUCCUACGGGAGGCAGCAGUAGGGAAUCUUCCGCAAAGGGCGAAAGCCUGACGGAGCAACGCCGCGUGAGUGAUGAAGGUCUUCGGAUCGUAAAACUCUGUUAUUAGGGAAGAACAAAUGUGUAAGUAACUAUGCACGUCUUGACGGUACCUAAUCAGAAAGCCACGGCUAACUACGUG
Molecule: ribosomal RNA, 497 nt
Filed under: uncultured bacterium
Lineage: Bacteria
Description: partial 16S ribosomal RNA
Rfam family: Bacterial small subunit ribosomal RNA
Source: RNAcentral